CACGCAUCGCCCACACCUGUGCCGUGCACCGACACCUGUGCCACGCAUCGCCCACACCUGUGCUGUGCACCAACACCUGUGCCACGCAUCGCCCACACCUGUGCCGUGCACCGACACCUGUGCCACGCAUCGCCCACACCUGUGCUGUGCACCAACACCUGUGCCACGCAUCGCCCACACCUGUGCCGUGCACCGACACCUGUGCCACCCAUCACCGACACCUGUGCCAUGCACCGACGCCUGUGCCACGCAUCGCCCACACCUGUGCCACGCAUCGCCCACACCUGUGCUGUGCACCAACACCUGUGCCACGCAUCGCCCACACCUGUGCCACCCAUCACCAACACCUGUGCCGUGCACCAACACCUGUGCCACGCAUCGCCCACACCUGUGCCACGCAUCGCCCACACCUGUGCCACGCAUCGCCCACACCUGUGCCGCGCACCGACACCUGUGCUGUGCACAAACAUCUGUGCCGCGCACCUGUGCACCUGGAUGCCUCUGACAUCGGCCCGCGCCCCAUUAAAGCACCCGCCACAGCCUCUGCCCUCCCGGCUCCUCUGAAGGAGCCAGACCCUUCAGCCGUCGGGGAGACUUUCUCAUUUCCUCAUCCCAGCGAAGAACAAACCCGGGGGCUCCGUUCCCGCAAAACCUCUGGGUACCCAGCCUCCUCCUGUCACCUCCGCUGCUGUCCCCCGGGCCAAGCCACUCUUCACCCGGAGGGCAGCUUCCUGUCUCCCUUCUUCCCUGUUUAACUUUCUGUCCUUCGGCUGAAUGUCCUCCACAUGCCUGUUGGAACUCCAAAAAUGAGAGAGUUUUACCCCCAUCCUUGUUCAGAGUCUCCACAGACCUCCUAUCGAUUUCUUGCCAUGGCUUGCUUUCACACCUGAGCCCUGGCCUCUCCUCUUGUCCCUUCGUUUACUGUGGCAGCCACAGAGGCCUUGGUCCUCCUUCUGGAAACUUCUGGGCACCUUCCUCUUGCUGCUGCAGUGGUACCCGUGCUGUCUC
RNAcentral lists this long non-coding RNA (1008 nucleotides) under Vulpes vulpes (red fox). Its description in RNAcentral is "lncRNA (ENSVVUG00000022721.1)". Lineage: Eukaryota; Metazoa; Chordata; Mammalia; Carnivora; Canidae. The record is from RNAcentral.